Molecule: transfer RNA, 75 nt
Filed under: Clostridia bacterium
Lineage: Bacteria; Bacillati; Bacillota; Clostridia
Description: tRNA-Gln
Rfam family: tRNA
About the family: Transfer RNA (tRNA) molecules are approximately 80 nucleotides in length. Their secondary structure includes four short double-helical elements and three loops (D, anti-codon, and T loops). Further hydrogen bonds mediate the characteristic L-shaped molecular structure. tRNAs have two regions of fundamental functional importance: the anti-codon, which is responsible for specific mRNA codon recognition, and the 3' end, to which the tRNAs corresponding amino acid is attached (by aminoacyl-tRNA synthetases). tRNAs cope with the degeneracy of the genetic code in two manners: having more than one tRNA (with a specific anti-codon) for a particular amino acid; and 'wobble' base-pairing, i.e. permitting non-standard base-pairing at the 3rd anti-codon position.
Source: RNAcentral
UGGGCUGUAGCCAAGCGGUAAGGCACCAGACUUUGACUCUGGCAUGCGUGUGUUCGAAUCUCACCAGCCCAGCCA